Molecule: ribosomal RNA, 551 nt
Filed under: Bacillus sp. (in: firmicutes)
Lineage: Bacteria; Bacillati; Bacillota; Bacilli; Caryophanales; Bacillaceae
Description: bacterial SSU rRNA
Rfam family: Bacterial small subunit ribosomal RNA
Source: RNAcentral
AGCAGUAGGGAAUCUUCCGCAAUGGACGAAAGUCUGACGGAGCAACGCCACGUGAGUGAUGAAGGUUUUCGGAUCGUACAGCUCUGUUGUUAGGGAAGAACAAGUGCGAGAGUAACUGCUCGCACCUUGACGGUACCUAACCAGAAAGCCACGGCUAACUACGUGCCAGCAGCCGCGGUAAUACGUAGGUGGCAAGCGUUGUCCGGAAUUAUUGGGCGUAAAGGGCUCGCAGGCGGUUUCUUAAGUCUGAUGUGAAAGCCCCCGGCUCAACCGGGGAGGGUCAUUGGAAACUGGGAAACUUGAGUGCAGAAGAGGAGAGUGGAAUUCCACGUGUAGCGGUGAAAUGCGUAGAGAUGUGGAGGAACACCAGUGGCGAAAGCAACUCUCUGGUCUGUAACUGACGCUAAGGAGCGAAAGCGUGGGGAGCGAACAGGAUUAGAUACCCUGGUAGUCCACGCCGUACACGAUGAGUGCUAAGUGUUAGGGGGUUUCCGCCCCUUAGUGCUGCAGCUAACGCAUUAAGCACUCCGCCUGGGGAAUACGGUCGCAAG